This 274-nucleotide ribosomal RNA is filed under the name uncultured bacterium. RNAcentral's name for it is "partial 16S ribosomal RNA". It matches the Rfam family "Bacterial small subunit ribosomal RNA", at positions 523 to 796 of the family's 1533-position model. The record is from RNAcentral.
CUACGAAGGGGGCUAGCGUUGUUCGGAAUUACUGGGCGUAAAGCGCGCGUAGGCGGACUGAUCAGUUGGGGGUGAAAUCCCAGGGCUUAACCCUGGAACUGCCUCCAAUACUGUCAGUCUUGAGGUCGGGAGAGGUGAGUGGAAUUCCUAGUGUAGAGGUGAAAUUCGUAGAUAUUAGGAGGAACACCAGUGGCGAAGGCGGCUCACUGGUCCAAUACUGACGCUGAGGUACGAAAGCGUGGGGAGCAAACAGGAUUAGAAACCCUUGUAGUCC